UGUUCUGAGGAAGGUGGGGUUUCUCCUGCAGGAUGUGGGCAGCUCUAAGGGUUGUGCAGAAGGGUGACAAGACCAGAGCUGUAUUUUAAUAGAAUAACUCGGUUCCCUUGAGACUUCAUUUCCGCCUUACUGCUGCCCUAAACACAAUGUAUUUCAUCUCGAGAUGCAUAGGCCACUCCAGUGUAAAUUAGCUUAGAGUCAAUAUGGCGAGGGGUACAGCCUUUUCCCACCGGCCUGGCAAGCCUGACCGGACAUGGGUCCCUAAGCUUCAACAUCAGGAGAGAAAAAAUAAAAUCCUCAACUCCUACUGAUGGUCGGUCACCACAGCUAAGGCACUGCACCAGCACCACCACCACCAUUAUCAUCGUCGUCAUCAUCAUCAUCGCCACCACUACCACCAUUCAUCGUUUACCAAAAUGUGCUCUCCAUUUAAGAAUCUGAAGUGCAGUCAUGCUCAACAGAGAAGCUGAAAAUCCUUCCACCAGGACUAAGGUUCUCUUCAGCAGAAGGCCCCAGUGAAUGUUACCAGAGUCCCAGGCAGAGCCCGCAGGUUGGGGCAGGGAAAUGCUUAAGGAAAGAAACAGGAAGACAGCAGGGCUGAGCCAAGUAGAAGAGAGGAAGAGGGAGAUAUUCCCGGCAUCCAGGAAAGCAUGAGGGGCCAGAAUGCUUGCCACCAGUGGUUGGACAAACACCCACAGCGGGUCAUUGGGUCAGGGCUGUGAUGUGAGGCAGGAGAACAGCAGAGGCCAGACUUCUAUGAGGAAGGCCCUGACCGACUGCCAGCUUAGAAGUUUGAUCCUUACCAUGGAGACAGUGGGGAGCCGUUGAAGGCUGCUGGGCAGAAGGCUGACCCUUGCCUACUGGCAUUAAUGGUAAGAUUACAGAGCAGCCCUUUAUCCAAGGCUUAUUCAAAGCCUCGUGUGGAUUUCAAGUGGUACUUAAGACACAAAGUCCUAACACUCUGGCCCCGUGUCAUGUGGACCAGAAAAAGAACGUUUAAGAGUCUCACAAAGAAGCGCUUCAUGGAGACCUCAAGCGAGGGCUGCUUUAUACAAGGAACCAAGCACGCAUGUGGUUCCGCACGGUCAGCCGCAGCAUCUGGAAGAUUGCAGCACUUUCUUCAGAGUCUGGAAUGUCCUCUUCAGCCAGGGCUGUUCCACCUCCCUCUUUUGGAGGUAAGUGGUUAUGUCAAAACACUGCAUCCUCGGGAGUGCAGGGCCUGAGGCAGCAGAAGGAAUCAGAAAGCUAGAAAUAGAAGUUUCAGCUUGGACGGCAUAAAGGGCCUUCUACACUGAGGCCACCUUCUUCACAAAAGCUGCUUCUCCCAGUAGCAUUUUGAUCCCCCCCC
Mus musculus (house mouse) is the source of this 1348-nucleotide long non-coding RNA. RefSeq annotates it as predicted gene, 51953. NCBI's taxonomy places the organism in Eukaryota, Metazoa, Chordata, Mammalia, Rodentia, Muridae. The record is from RefSeq and is a predicted model, not a curated record. The transcript has 3 exons.